GAUCUCUCUAGUUUUAAUUCCAAUUUAGACAUUAAACCCCAUUUUCACUGUCCAUUAAACAAAGAAAAAAUGAUAGUGCGGAUGGGGCAUCCGUGUACUGGGCACACAUUUUUGUUGAUAAAUAAUUGUAAGAUGCAGAUUUCAGUGUCGCUAACAGCAUUUUAUAAAAGGAGACAAAAAUAGACUGACAAAGCCAUGGCUAAAAAAAAGAAGAUAAAAAGCCACACCAAAGCAACUCUCCGGCAGUUCCAGCUCCGAUCCGUAAACUACUCUACAGA
This 278-nucleotide long non-coding RNA is filed under the name Mytilus galloprovincialis (Mediterranean mussel). Lineage: Eukaryota; Metazoa; Mollusca; Bivalvia; Mytilida; Mytilidae. The record is from RNAcentral.